Oryza rufipogon (brownbeard rice) is the source of this 187-nucleotide microRNA precursor. It matches the Rfam family "MIR812 microRNA precursor family". The record is from Rfam. Lineage: Eukaryota; Viridiplantae; Streptophyta; Magnoliopsida; Poales; Poaceae.
AACAAUCUAACGCAUACGCCCUCCGUCCCAUUUUCCGUUUUAUUUAAAAAAUUUUAAAAACGUAAGUCACGAGUAUAGCACUAUUUAUGUUUUAUCAUCUUAUAACAACAAAGAUAUUAAUUAUAAAAAAAUUUCAAAUAAAACGGACGAUCAAAGUUGGACGCGGAAACUCAUGGUUGCACUCAAA